GAUGAACGCUGGCGGCGUGCCUAAUACAUGCAAGUCGAGCGAACGGACGAGAAGCUUGCUUCUCUGAUGUUAGCGGCGGACGGGUGAGUAACACGUGGAUAACCUACCUAUAAGACUGGGAUAACUUCGGGAAACCGGAGCUAAUACCGGAUAAUAUUUUGAACCGCAUGGUUCAAAAGUGAAAGACGGUCUUGCUGUCACUUAUAGAUGGAUCCGCGCUGCAUUAGCUAGUUGGUAAGGUAACGGCUUACCAAGGCAACGAUGCAUAGCCGACCUGAGAGGGUGAUCGGCCACACGGGAACUGAGACACGGUCCAGACUCCUACGGGAGGCAGCAGUAGGGAAUCUUCCGCAAUGGGCGAAAGCCUGACGGGCAACGCCGCGUGAGUGAUGAAGGUCUUCGGAUCGUAAAACUCUGUUAUUAGGGAAGAACAUAUGUGUAAGUAACUGUGCACAUCUUGACGGUACCUAAUCAGAAAGCCACGGCUAACUACGUG
RNAcentral lists this ribosomal RNA (496 nucleotides) under uncultured bacterium. RNAcentral describes it as "partial 16S ribosomal RNA". It matches the Rfam family "Bacterial small subunit ribosomal RNA", at positions 28 to 507 of the family's 1533-position model. The record is from RNAcentral.